AAGUCGUAACAAGGUAACCGUAGGUGAACCUGCGGUUGGAUCAUUAACAAAAUCCAAUUACAAGUUUUGUGGGAAGGGGUGUCAAAGCUCUGGUACCGCAAUUCUUGUUUUUUAACACAAUGUGAACUGUAAUUGUCUCUGGUGUGGUUUAAGAGUCUUUUUUUUGUUUCGGGCAAGAAAAGAUAGCUUCUCCUUCCUUCCUUGCUUUUUUUAGCGGGGUGGAUACCAUGGGGGGGGAGCUACCCACCGUUAUAUAUAAACUUUUUUAAUUUUAAUUGGUCUUUAUAAAUAAAGUUUUUAGUACUUUAAAAUUUCUUAAAUUUAAAAAAAAAACAACUUUUGGCAACGGAUCUCUAGGCUCUU
RNAcentral lists this unclassified non-coding RNA (363 nucleotides) under fungal sp. Its description in RNAcentral is "partial internal transcribed spacer region". The stretch from base 1 to 46 matches the Rfam family "Eukaryotic small subunit ribosomal RNA", at positions 1786 to 1831 of the family's 1831-position model. Lineage: Eukaryota; Fungi. The record is from RNAcentral.